AGCUUUAUUGGACAAUGAGGUGGCCAGGAAUGCUAUGCUGCUCGGGGCUUCCAGGCACUGGUUUCCUCUUUGGGGAACAGUUCCUCAAUAAAAGAAAUUGAACGAGUACAUUAAGACCUGUUCAGAAAGCAGCUCAAUGGCUAGGUGUGAUGGCUUAUGCCUGUAAUACCAGCACUUUGUGAGGCUGAGGCAGGAGGAUCCCUUGAGGCCAGGAGUUCAAGAUUAGCCUGGACAACAAAGUGAGACCUCAUCUACAAAAAAUAAAAAAAUUAGCUGGGCGUGGUGGCUCACAUCUGUGGUCCCAGCUACAUGGGAGGCUGAGGCAGGAGGAUUACUUGAGGUUAGGAGGUCGAGGCUGCAGUGAGCUCUGAUUGUGCCACGGCACUCCAGCCUGCGUGACAGAGUGAGACCUUGUUUCAGGGGGAAAAAAAAAAAAAAGAAGAAAGCACCUCAACUAAAUGGAGACCUUUGGCUGUGUCCUUGUGCCCUCUGCCUUUGUGCGUGGGGAGUAGGUGUGGGUGGGCCUUCCAGGGGACGCUGGUUUUGGGUCACUGUAGCCCGCAUGAUUUGGGGACGGCACUAGGCUGUGGCGGGCGGGAGGCAGGUUCCCGACACCAUUCAUCAUGGAUGAACAAUGUCUUGGGGAUGGUUCCGUGUCAGUCCAGACCUCAUUCUGUUUCAUGACUGUGCAAUGGCAGCUGUCAUACUGCUGGGGGUCAGGUGCUGUUCAGAACGCCUCAUGUGGGUUCAGUGACUGUGUAGGAGUGUCAGUAGCAAGUGUGCACCUCCUGUGGCCUUGCUUGUGUCGAUAACACCUACAUUGCUUUGUCUCUGUCACCAGCAAGGGUGCAACAGACGUUCUGUGACGCAUCUUCAUGCACAUGUGUGAAUAUGUCUGUGUGAUCCAUUCUUAGAUGUGGAGUUGCCGGGCCAGAGUGUCCUGCGUUUGAAAUGGGCAGUUAGCACCAACCUGUGGCUCCAUCUUAGGUGGUUUCCCAGGGACACAGGAAGCUGAGGGGGCAGCGCUGGGGGGAGCUGCCUAGCGCCCGCUGAAGCCGCACCCCUCCUGUCUUUGCAGGUCGGCUGGAUGAUGUGGAACUGGAUGGUGUCCCUUCUGGCCACAGGAGCGGCCAUGGUCUUGUACGAUGGCUCCCCCCUGGUGCCCACGCCCAAUGUGCUCUGGGACCUGGUUGACAGGAUAGGCAUCACUGUCCUGGUAACUGGGGCCAAGUGGCUGUCAGUGCUGGAAGAGAAGGCCAUGAAGCCGGUGGAAACCCACAGUCUCCAGAUGCUCCACACGAUCCUGUCCACUGGCUCCCCACUGAAAGCCCAGAGCUACGAGUAUGUCUACAGGUGCAUCAAGAGCAGCAUCCUCCUGGGCUCCAUCUCAGGAGGCACCGACAUCAUCUCCUGCUUCAUGGGCCACAAUUUUUCUCUUCCUGUGUAUAAAGGGGAGAUUCAGGCCCGGAACCUGGGCAUGGCCGUGGAAGCGUGGAACGAGGAAGGAAAGGCGGUCUGGGGAGAGAGCGGCGAGCUGGUGUGUACUAAGCCGAUCCCUUGCCAGCCCACACACUUCUGGAACGAUGAGAACGGCAACAAGUACAGGAAGGCGUAUUUCUCCAAAUUCCCAGGUAUCUGGGCUCAUGGCGACUACUGCAGAAUCAACCCCAAGACCGGGGGCAUCAUCAUGCUUGGCCGGAGUGACGGCACCCUCAACCCCAACGGGGUGCGGUUCGGCAGCUCGGAAAUCUAUAACAUUGG
Molecule: small RNA, 1761 nt
Filed under: Pan troglodytes (chimpanzee)
Lineage: Eukaryota; Metazoa; Chordata; Mammalia; Primates; Hominidae
Description: retained intron
Source: RNAcentral